This 536-nucleotide ribosomal RNA is filed under the name Atrochromadora sp. 214386335. Its description in RNAcentral is "SSU rRNA". It matches the Rfam family "Eukaryotic small subunit ribosomal RNA", at positions 79 to 616 of the family's 1831-position model. The record is from RNAcentral. RNAcentral also lists the same sequence under 1 other name. Lineage: Eukaryota; Metazoa; Nematoda; Chromadorea; Chromadorida; Chromadoridae.
UGGUAAAGCCGCGAAUGGCUCAUUACAACAGCCUUAGUUUAUUGGAUCUUAAGGUCCUACUUGGAUACCUGUGGAAAAUCUAGAGCUAAUACACGCAAUUAAGCCCUAACCUGACGGACAGGGCGCAUUUAUUAGAACAAAACCAAUUGGCUUCGGCCAUCUAUUGGUGAAUCUGAAUAACUAUGCUGAUCGCACGGUCUCGUACCGGCGACGUAUCCUUCAAGUGUCUGCCUUAUCAACUUUCGAUGGUAGUAUAUAGGACUACCAUGGUUGUAACGGGUAACGGAGAAUAAGGGUUCGACUCCGGAGAGGGAGCCUGAGAAACGGCUACCACUUCCAAGGAAGGCAGCAGGCGCGCAAAUUACCCACUCUCAGAACGAGGAGGUAGUGACGAAAAAUAACGAGACAGAUCUCUAUGAGGUCUGUCAUCGGAAUGGGUACAAUUUAAACCCUUUAACGAGGAUCUAUUGGAGGGCAAGUCUGGUGCCAGCAGCCGCGGUAAUUCCAGCUCCAAUAGCGUAUAUUAAAGUUGUUGC